AGAGGGGGCAAGCGUUGCUCGGAAUUACUGGGCGUAAAGGGCGCGUAGGCGGGAUGGCAAGUCGGUCGUGAAAUCCCUCGGCUCAACUGAGGAUCGUCGAUCGAUACUGCCGUUCUUGAGGAUUGCAGAGGAGACUGGAAUUCCCGGUGUAGCGGUGAAAUGUGUAGAGAUCGGGAGGAACACCGGUGGCGAAGGCGGGUCUCUGGGCAAUUCCUGACGCUGAGGCGCGAAAGCGUGGGGAGCAAACGGGAUUAGAUACCCCGGUAGUCCACGCUGUAAACGAUGACGACUAGGUGUGGGGGGGUUCAGUCCCUUCCGUGCCGCAGCUAACGCAUUAAGUCGUCCGCCUGGGGAGUACGGCCGCAAGGUUG
Molecule: ribosomal RNA, 371 nt
Filed under: uncultured bacterium
Lineage: Bacteria
Description: bacterial SSU rRNA
Rfam family: Bacterial small subunit ribosomal RNA
Source: RNAcentral